UGACACUCGGUUGCCUCUGGUAAUUGGAAGACUUCCCAUGCCUAAGGAAGCAUCCAUCAAUCAUAAGAGAAGAUUUAGCUGAAACAAGUCCCGGUGGUGUCUUGAAAAAUGGCGAUUACAUAUCCCCAGAAUACAAUUGAUCUACAGAUACAUCCUUCCUGUCUGGAACAUAACAACCAAGGGAAUUGCUAUAGGCUCCAGAUCAUUAUCCGAUCAUGCCCUGGAUCGGUGAAGAACGGCUUCUAUGAAUAGCCAGGACUUCAUCACUAAUGACAGACGGCAGCCAU
Hyla sarda is the source of this 287-nucleotide long non-coding RNA. RefSeq lists it as uncharacterized. Lineage: Eukaryota; Metazoa; Chordata; Amphibia; Anura; Hylidae. The transcript is spliced from 3 exons. The record is from RefSeq and is a predicted model, not a curated record.